Procambarus clarkii (red swamp crayfish) is the source of this 940-nucleotide non-coding RNA. NCBI's taxonomy places the organism in Eukaryota, Metazoa, Arthropoda, Malacostraca, Decapoda, Cambaridae. The record is from RefSeq and is a predicted model, not a curated record.
GCGUCCCCGCGGCCCGGCCUCUUCAUUGCUGGACUGGUCAACCAGGCUACUGGACGCCGCUGCUCGCAGCCUGACAUAUGACUCACAGCCUCGUUGAUCAGGUAUCCUCUGGAUACCUGAUCAUCCAGGUAUCUCGAGUGUUCAUGAGUGUUCUGUCAUGAACACUGUGAGAGGUUGGCCAGUUAUGCCCCUUAUGUGUACUGAAAUAGUAUAAAUAUAGUGGAAGGGAUAGAUAAGCAGCCUUCCAGUCUGUAGUGGAAGGUAUAAAUAAGCAUUUGUUUGCUGAUUUUAUGAAUAAGUUUUGGUAUGAACUUGAUAUAUUAGCAUUUUCUACACUUUAUUAUCAAUAUGACUUUAUUUACUAUUGUUUAUUGGAUCACUAUUAUUAGUCUUGGCUCUUUAUUUGUUAAGGGAUCUUAGUUAUUGUAACAUUUUAUUAAGGAUUUUAGGCAUUGAGAAUUUUUGUCUGACUUUUAGGCUGCCUUAACCUUAUUAUCCUCAAGAUUAAGCAGGAGCAUAUAUACAUCUUUGAUAUUUUAAGUUGCUUAAUGUACAACUAAAUACAGUAAGUUGCCUAUUGCAAUUUACCAUAAUGCAUUAAGCAGCUUACUGUAUAUAUGUUUUUUAGUAUUAUUAGUAUUCUUUUGUAAAUUUGCUCUAAUACAGUAGCUAGCUUUUGGGCACUUACUUUAUUACAGUAAUUAACGUACUGUACAAGAUAUUUCAUACAGUAUGCAGCUUACUGUUCAAGUAGUUUAAUACAGCAAGUGUCCUUCUGCACACUUAAAUGUACAAUUACUUUAGUAAAGAAACUGCAAUAUGUACACCUCCUUUGAUACAGUAAGUAGUACUGUACUAUAUUUUUUAUAGUACAGUACAGCAAGUAUUAAAGUAAAUACAUGCAUUAUCUGAAAUAAAGCAACAUAUAAGUUUAACCAAU